Long non-coding RNA from Monodelphis domestica (gray short-tailed opossum), 568 nucleotides. Lineage: Eukaryota; Metazoa; Chordata; Mammalia; Didelphimorphia; Didelphidae. The record is from Ensembl.
GAACAGGCUUCUCUCUGGGUCUCCAUUUCCUAAUCAAACAGAGAGGGAAUGGAAUUAGAAAGUCAGCAUGCGGACCGAGGAAGAAAUCCUGGAUCUGGAGUCAUCGAGAUGAUCUUUAAAUGUCAUUUCUGCUUCUUAUCACCAGUGUGGCCUUGGACAUUUCAUCUGAUCCCUCUAGUUCUCCCUUAUUUCCUUCGUUAAAUUAUGGGACUGGAUGAAGUGACUUCUUAGGUGACUUCUAGAUGAACAUCUAUGGUCCCUUGAUUCAGGCCAGAUAGAAUCUAUGAGCCCCCAAGGAACAAUGACACAGCCAAGACCAACCAGCCAGGAGUAUGCCUCAGUGCUCAGGCGUGGUGACCCACUUCCAGGCAGCCCUCGUGCCAGCAUCUCUGUUGAGUGUGCCAGUUACAAUGUGGACGGCAGCAAAUGGAUUGAGGCCACCCAGCAGAUGGUAAUAACUUUCAGUUACUGCUCCCUGGGCUUGACUGGAACCAGUGACCUGGAGGUAACUGACUGGCCAUUAUCCUCUACUCUUUCAGUUUUGCUCAUAGUAUUGGCAACUCAAUAG